UACAUGGGGUGCAAACGUUGCUCGGAAUUAUUGGGCGUAAAGCGCACGUAGGCGGUUCGUUAAGUCGGAUGUGAAAGCCCUCGGCUCAACUGAGGAAGUGCACCCGAAACUGGCGAGCUUGAGUACGAAAGAGGAUCGCGGAAUUCCCGGUGUAGAGGUGAAAUUCGUAGAUAUCGGGAGGAACACCGGUGGCGAAGGCGGCGAUCUGGGUCGAUACUGACGCGUGAGGUGGCGAAAAGCGUGGGGAGCAAACAGG
RNAcentral lists this ribosomal RNA (256 nucleotides) under uncultured bacterium. Its description in RNAcentral is "partial 16S ribosomal RNA". It matches the Rfam family "Bacterial small subunit ribosomal RNA", at positions 524 to 776 of the family's 1533-position model. The record is from RNAcentral.